Molecule: long non-coding RNA, 1916 nt
Organism: Callithrix jacchus (white-tufted-ear marmoset)
Lineage: Eukaryota; Metazoa; Chordata; Mammalia; Primates; Cebidae
Source: Ensembl
AUGACAUCAUUCAGAAGGACCUCCAUCCUCCAUCAAUGUCCACCCAUCAGUGGUUCAGUCAUUCACUCACUCAGAAAGUUAUUGAGUGCCAGAUCUGGAGGCGAUUUCUUCCUGGUUCUCAUUUCUGUGCUUUCCCCCCAGCAUUGCCUCAAAUGGAAUUCAAUACCAUCUAUGAGUAAAUAUGCCCAUUUAAAAAAACUACACACACACGCACUCAUUUUUAGUUUGAAAUAUUCUAAAUUAGAUUCCAAAGUAUCAUGAUUUUGUCACUAUAUUUAAGAAAAAAAUGUGUAUUUUGUUUAUGUAGGUUUUUAUUUUAAAAUACCCUUCUCAUUGAGUUGCUUUGUAAUACAAAGCGAUGUAUCUGAAGAACGACUGCCAGAAAGAUCAAACCUCACACACAGGUUGUUUUGAUACUGUCAUGUCGUGGUAUUCAUAUUUUUUGUUUAUAAAUGUUAAUUUUGCAUGAAGUAAACAGAUACAGUACAUCUAAAAAACAUAUUCUAUUUCAGAGUGAGUUAUUACAGUGAUUGGGCUAUAAACUGAAAUGUAAGCUGGUGAAAGCCUCCGUGAUGUUAAACCCCUCUUUAUUGUUACAAAUGCAGGCACGUUUGGAAUUCCAGUGCCAGGGAGGGUUCCCACUUCACACAGCCAAGCCCUUCAGAGGCGAAAUCUGCCAAAGCCCUUUUAACCACAUGCCUGUAGGAAUUUGUGCACUUAAUUAAAUGCACAUACCAAGUAGGUAAUCAGCAGAGUCCCGUUUAUUCACACACAUGUCCCCGAAUCACCAGAUGGCAUGCCUUAGAGACCUAUGCUCCCUGAUGGUGUGCUACAUCACACAGGACAUGCUAAACACAGGCAGGUAUUGCCUCUAAUAUUGUGUAUUUAAAAUAAACACAGAUAUAGUAUAAGAAAGAGGAUAAUCCUAUACAUAACAGUAAGCUGGAGAAAAAUGUCUUUAAGAUGUUUCAAUCAGUAAACAUUUAAGAAAGAUGUUGCAGAAGUCGACUGAGCAUCUGUUUUCAGAAGCCCUAUAAAUAUGUUAUGGAAUAAUUGAAUUAAUCAUACACUUUUUUUUUUUUUUUUUUGAGACAGAGUCUUGCUCUGUUGCUCAGGCUGGAGUGUAUAGCACGAUCCUGGCUCACUGCAGCCUCCAUGUCCUGAGUUAAAGUGAUUCUCAUACCUCAGCCUCCCAAGUAUCUGAGACUACAGGCAUGCACCACCAUGCCUGGCUAAUGUUUGUAUUUUUAGUAGAGAGGGGUUUCACCAGACUGGCCAAGCUGGUCUUGAACUCCUAACCUCAAGUGAUCCACCUGCCUUGGCCUCCCAAAGUAUUCCUGGGAUUACAGGUGCGAGCCACUGUACCUGGCCUGCCGUACAUUUUUAAAUCAUAAUGUUGCCUUUGAUGACAAGAUGAUGUGGCAGAUAUAGUAUUUGUGACAAAGCAGAAUACAUGAUAUUUGCUAACACUGCAGAAAUAUUUCCUAGUAGACUUUUCAGGUCAGAAACUUUUGCCAAGAUUAAAGUUUCUUCAUAAUAGAAUAGUGGAUUGUGCCAGAGAAGCUGCAGUGCAGCCUACCUUUUCAUUCACAAGUGGACAAAGUGAAAGCACACAGCAGGGUGCGGUGAUGAACACACUUUAAGUGGCAUCAACUCCUGGUGCUCAUGCCCUUGUAGAAUGAUCUCCCCAAGCAUGUGAUUUGCUUCUAAUCAAUAGAAUAUGGAAAAGGUAAUGCCAUCCCCUUGAUUACAUUAUGUUACAUAAAAUCUCAUCCUGCUGACUCUGUCUCUUUCCCUCUUAGUUGCUGGCUUUGAAGAAGCAAGCUGCCAUAAUCCCUACUGUUGCAAAAAAAUGAAUUCUGCCAAUGACCUGGGAGAGUCAUCUCUUGACACUGAUAUUUUCCUCCCACAAACAU